This 251-nucleotide ribosomal RNA is filed under the name uncultured prokaryote. RNAcentral's name for it is "partial 16S rRNA". It matches the Rfam family "Bacterial small subunit ribosomal RNA", at positions 525 to 775 of the family's 1533-position model. The record is from RNAcentral.
ACGGGGGGUGCAAGCGUUACUCGGAAUCACUGGGCGUAAAGAGCAUGUAGGCGGAUUAAUAAGUUUGAAGUGAAAUCCUAUAGCUUAACUAUAGAACUGCUUUGAAAACUGUUAAUCUAGAAUGUGGGAGAGGUAGAUGGAAUUUCUGGUGUAGGAGUAAAAUGCGUAGAUAUCAGGAGGAAUACCGGUUGCGAAGGCGAUCUACUGGAAAAUUAUUGACACUGAGGCGCGAAAGCGUGGGGAGCAAACAG